This 184-nucleotide small RNA is filed under the name Arabidopsis thaliana (thale cress). RNAcentral's name for it is "ATSL288000". Lineage: Eukaryota; Viridiplantae; Streptophyta; Magnoliopsida; Brassicales; Brassicaceae. The record is from RNAcentral.
AAGUAUAUGUAAAUUUGUUUACUUUUUAAGAUUUUCUAUUUUUUUAGAGAAUAAAAAAGUUAAAUUUUGAAUGACACAUGUAAACAUCUGAUCGUUUGACUUGAUACGUGGCACAAUCCUAUGAGUUAGCAAAUUUGAAAACCAUACUUUAUAUAAUAAGAUACGUAUGCAAUUAAUUAAAAAU